AAAAUCAGAGGUUCCUGCAACUCAUUCUUUUAUUUCUCGAUGCCCCUUGGCAAUCAUUAUUUCACCUGACCGUUUGAUCCUUUCUUAACAACUUGAAAAUUGGUUCACACGUGGCUGUUAGAGGAGAUGUGAACCAUGACAUGUACUUCAAUCUACCUAAUAGACCACGAACCUCUUUUUCUGUUCUCGAUUCAGGCACUUCUUGUUUUUCUUUCUCUCUUUUUUUUUUUAAGCAGGAUCAACCUCGAUUCCUCUCUUACUUACAAUAAACCCCCAGCAGCUUACCGGCCCGCACUCUGAUAGUGCAC
RNAcentral lists this long non-coding RNA (308 nucleotides) under Lathyrus oleraceus (garden pea). Its description in RNAcentral is "Pisum sativum (pea) long non-coding RNA (PSAT_LNC018867)". The record is from RNAcentral. Lineage: Eukaryota; Viridiplantae; Streptophyta; Magnoliopsida; Fabales; Fabaceae.